This 1431-nucleotide ribosomal RNA is filed under the name Candidatus Providencia siddallii. RNAcentral's name for it is "bacterial SSU rRNA". It matches the Rfam family "Bacterial small subunit ribosomal RNA". The record is from RNAcentral. Lineage: Bacteria; Pseudomonadati; Pseudomonadota; Gammaproteobacteria; Enterobacterales; Morganellaceae.
GGCUCAGAUUGAACGCUGGCGGCAGGCCUAACACAUGCAAGUCGAGCGGUAACAGAAUUUUUGACGAGCGGCGAACGGGUGAGUAAUGUAUGGGGAUCUGCCCGAUAAAGGGGGAUAACUACUGGAAACGGUAGCUAAUACCGCAUAAACUCUUAGGAGCAAAGCAGGGGAACUUCGGUCCUUGCGUUGUCGGAUGAACCCAUAUGGGAUUAGCUAGUAGGUGUGGUAAUGGCUCACCUAGGCUACGAUCCCUAGCUGGUCUGAGAGGAUGAUCAGCCACACUGGAACUGAGAUACGGUCCAGACUCCUACGGGAGGCAGCAGUGGGGAAUAUUGCACAAUGGGCGAAAGCCUGAUGCAGCCAUGCCGCGUGUAUGAAGAAGGCAGCAGCCGCGGUAAUACGGAGGGUGCUAGCGUUAAUCGGAAUUACUGGGCGUAAAGAGCACGUAGGCGGUUAUUUAAGUUAGAUGUGAAAGCCCUGGGCUUAACUUAGGAAUUGCAUCUAAAACUAGAUGACUAGAGUUUUGUAGAGGGAGGUAGAAUUCCAUGUGUAGCGGUGAAAUGCGUAGAGAUGUGGAGGAAUACCAGUGGCGAAGGCGGCCUCCUAGACAAAAACUGACGCUCAGGUGCGAAAGCGUGGGGAGCAAACAGGAUUAGAUACCCUGGUAGUCCACGCUGUAAACGAUGUCGAUUUGAAAGUUGUUUCCUUGAGGAAUGGCUUUCGUAGCUAACGCGUUAAAUCGACCGCCUGGGGAGUACGGCCGCAAGGUUAAAACUCAAAUGAAUUGACGGGGGCCCGCACAAGCGGUGGAGCAUGUGGUUUAAUUCGAUGCAACGCGAAAAACCUUACCUACUCUUGACAUCCAGAGGAUUUUGCAGAAAUGCUUAAGUGCCUUCGGGAACUCUGAGACAGGUGCUGCAUGGCUGUCGUCAGCUCGUGUUGUGAAAUGUUGGGUUAAGUCCCGCAACGAGCGCAACCCCAUUGUAACGAGCGCAACCCUUAUCCUUUGUUGCCAGCGACUUUAGUCGGGAACUCAAAGGAGACUGCCGGUGAUAAACUGGAGGAAGGUGGGGAUGACGUCAAGUCAUCAUGGCCCUUACGAGUAGGGCUACACACGUGCUACAAUGGCGUAUACAAAGAGAGGCGACCUCGCAAGAGUAAGCGAAACUUAUAAAGUGCGUCGUAGUCCAGAUUGGAGUCUGCAACUCGACUCCAUGAAGUCGGAAUCGCUAGUAAUCGUAGAUCAGAAUGCUACGGUGAAUACGUUCCCGGGCCUUGUACACACCGCCCGUCACACCAUGGGAGUGGGUUGCAAAAGAAGUAAGUAGUUUAACCUUAAAAGGAGGACGCUUACCACUUUGUGAUUCAUGACUGGGGUGAAGUCGUAACAAGGUAACCGUAGGGGAACCUGCGGCUGGAUCACCUCAUAAA